This 1267-nucleotide ribosomal RNA is filed under the name metagenome. Its description in RNAcentral is "bacterial LSU rRNA". It matches the Rfam family "Bacterial large subunit ribosomal RNA", at positions 1564 to 2837 of the family's 2925-position model. The record is from RNAcentral.
UGAAUACGAGAUGCUACGGCGUCGAAGCAGUCUAUGUCAUACUUCCAAGAAAAGCUUGCACUGUCAUAAACAAAUAAUGCCUGUACCAUAACCGACACAGGUGGGUAGGUAGAGUAUACUAAGGGGCGCGAGAUAACUCUCUCUAAGGAACUCGGCAAAAUGACUCCGUAACUUCGGGAGAAGGAGUGCCUUAUUUUAUAAGGUUGCAAUAACAAGAUCCAAGCAACUGUUUACCAAAAACACAGGUCUCCGCUAAGUCGUAAGACGAUGUAUGGGGGCUGACGCCUGCCCAGUGCCAGAAGGUUAAAGAAGUUGGUUAGCAUCCGCGAAGCUGAUAACUGAAGCCCUGGUGAACGGCGGCCGUAACUAUAACGGUCCUAAGGUAGCGAAAUUCCUUGUCGGGUAAGUUCCGACCCGCACGAAAGGCGUAAUGAUUUGGAUACUGUCUCAGAGAGGGGCUCGGUGAAAUAGACUUGUCUGUGAAGAUGCGGACUACCUGCACCAGGACAGAAAGACCCUAUGAAGCUUUACUGUAACUUGAAAUUGAAAUUGGACUUUACUUGCGCAGUAUAGGUGGGAGGCGUUGAGAAUAUUCUUGCGGGAAUGUUGGAGCCAUCAGUGAGAUACCACUCUUGUAAUGUUAGAUUUCUAACUUUGUAUCAUUAUCUGGUCAAAGGACAGUUUCAGGCGGGCAGUUUGACUGGGGCGGUCGCCUCCCAAACGGUAACGGAGGCGCACAAAGGUUUCCUCUGAACGGGUAGAAAUCGUAUCUAGAGUGUAAAGGCAUAAGGAAGCUUGACUGUGAGACCUACAAGUCGAGCAGGGACGAAAGUCGGUCUUAGUGAUCUGACGGUGCUGAGUGGAAAGGCCGUCACUCAACGGAUAAAAGUUACUCUAAGGAUAACAGGCUGAUCUCCCCCAAGAGUUCACAUCGACGGGGAGGUUUGGCACCUCGAUGUCGGCUCAUCGCAUCCUGGGGCGGUAGUACGUCCCAAGGGUUGGGCUGUUCGCCCAUGAAAGCGGUACGCGAGCUGGGUUCAGAACGUCGUGAGACAGUUCGGUCCAUAUCCGGUGUAGGCGUUAGAAUACUGAGAGGAGCCUUCUUUAGUACGAGAGGACCGAGAAGGACAUACCUCUGGUGUACCAGUUAUCGUGCCAACGGUAAACGCUGGGUAGCUAUGUAUGGAGUGGAUAACCGCUGAAAGCAUCUAAGUGGGAAGCCCACCUCAAGAUGAGUGCUCUCACAGGGUUAACCUGGUAAGGUCAC